GACGUAGGAGGCGAGCGUUGUCCGGAUUCAUUGGGCGUAAAGAGCACGCAGGCGGUUUGGCAAGUCGGAUGUGAAAACCCGAAGCUCAACCUCGGGCCUGCAUCCGAAACUGCCCGACUAGAGGUAGGUAGGGGAGAUCGGAAUUCCUGGUGUAGCGGUGAAAUGCGCAGAUAUCAGGAGGAACACCGGUGGCGAAGGCGGAUCUCUGGGCCAUUACUGACGCUGAGGAGCGAAAGCGUGGGGAGCAAACAGG
This 253-nucleotide ribosomal RNA is filed under the name uncultured bacterium. Its description in RNAcentral is "partial 16S ribosomal RNA". It matches the Rfam family "Bacterial small subunit ribosomal RNA", at positions 524 to 776 of the family's 1533-position model. The record is from RNAcentral.